RNAcentral lists this ribosomal RNA (497 nucleotides) under uncultured bacterium. Its description in RNAcentral is "partial 16S ribosomal RNA". It matches the Rfam family "Bacterial small subunit ribosomal RNA", at positions 28 to 507 of the family's 1533-position model. The record is from RNAcentral.
GAUGAACGCUGGCGGCGUGCCUAAUACAUGCAAGUCGAGCGAACAGACGAGGAGCUUGCUCCUCUGACGUUAGCGGCGGACGGGUGAGUAACACGUGGAUAACCUACCUAUAAGACUGGGAUAACUUCGGGAAACCGGAGCUAAUACCGGAUAAUAUAUUGAACUGCAUGGUUCAAUAGUGAAAGACGGUUUUGCUGUCACUUAUAGAUGGAUCCGCGCCGCAUUAGCUAGUUGGUAAGGUAACGGCUUACCAAGGCAACGAUGCGUAGCCGACCUGAGAGGGUGAUCGGCCACACUGGAACUGAGACACGGUCCAGACUCCUACGGGAGGCAGCAGUAGGGAAUCUUCCGCAAUGGGCGAAAGCUUGACGGAGCAACGCCGCGUGAGUGAUGAAGGUCUUCGGACCGUAAAACUCUGUUAUUAGGGAAGAACAAAUGUGUAAGUAACUAUGCACGUCUUGACGGUACCUAAUCAGAAAGCCACGGCUAACUACGUG